Long non-coding RNA from Dreissena polymorpha, 348 nucleotides. RefSeq lists it as uncharacterized. The record is from RefSeq and is a predicted model, not a curated record. Lineage: Eukaryota; Metazoa; Mollusca; Bivalvia; Myida; Dreissenidae. The transcript has 3 exons.
GAUUCUUUUGUCUUGCAGUUCAACAUCGUGUGUUGGGUUCUUAUAUUAAGAAACAUGUUUCACAUGAAGGCGAUGGACAGGAAGACGUCAAUGGAAAAGAUUAAAACGAGCCUGCGUUCCCUGUGUGUGCUUGUUCCUUUGAUGGGCCUCUCCUGGAUUCUCGGCAUCCUUUACGUCAACGAGACAUCUGCAUUUAUGCAGUAUUUGUUUGCACUGUUCAACACAUUGCAGGGCCUAUUUAUCUUCAUAUUCCACUGCAUUUUUAACCAACAGGUGAGGUUAUUUUGGUUCGAUUCCCACCAACAAACUCAUUAACAUUACGUGUAUGGUGACUUGUUUAUUGUUUUU